This 1472-nucleotide long non-coding RNA is filed under the name Daucus carota (carrot). RNAcentral describes it as "long non-coding RNA (DCAR_LNC000771)". The record is from RNAcentral. Lineage: Eukaryota; Viridiplantae; Streptophyta; Magnoliopsida; Apiales; Apiaceae.
UCAAAUAUUAUAUUAUUAUAUUAUAUUUUAAAAAGUGGUACAGGACCUCUCUUUCUAAGAUACAGUGGACCCAAAUCACAUUUGUUACUGACAUCAAAUUUGCCGUGGAACAGUGUUGGGCCUGACCAGACCAAGCCCGCCGAAGAAGUACAAGAAGCCCAAGACAAAAGGAGCAGCCCAGCUCAGAAGGAAGAAAGUGCUAUAAAUACAAGGAGAGAAACCAGAGUCAGGGACUCAGGGUUCCUUUCAAAAAAAAAAAAAAACAGAGUCAGGGGUUGAGGAAACUGAGAGGGAGAAGAGGCUCCCAACAAAGAGUUAUUCGUUACAUUCUCCGACUUGAACGAUACGCAUGCAUAGUCCUCCCUUGAUUGUUUAUCUCGGUGUGUUUUAAAAUUUUAUAAAAUAUAAUUUCAUAAAUUAUUUAAAAAAAUUAUCUUAGAUAAUUUACAGUAUGUGCCAAAUAAUGAAAAUACGGUAAAGAAAUUACAUGAAUGGAAGGAGUAAUUCAUAACACUAACAAAUUUCAUGACAAAUAUGUUGACGAGUACACAUAAGAAUAUACAAUACACAACAAGAGCUAGCACAGGAAGUAUAUAUAGAGAUGAGAGUACUUGCACCCACAAAAUAGACUAGAACUUGAGAAGAUUAACAUUAUUUCUACAGUUUACAUUGAUACAAACUCACGAACUCAAGAAUACUAAUUAAGACCCCAACAACUCAAGUACAUAACAAUCCUCAAAGACUCCUCAGCAGGAGGAUUAGCUUUAGCAUUAGUUCCCUUUACAUAAGACUGCUUCACUUCCGCACUACCACCAAAUGAACUCAAUGACUGCUUUGACGAUGCGAAACCGUUAGAACCAGUCCUAGAUGACUUCGAGGACGCAGACUCACCAUUUAAUCCUCCUCUUGUUUUCAUUUUCUAUACGGAUAAAUUUAACACGAUACAAGCAUACACUCCUAGCUAGAGGUGAUAGAAGAUAAGGAGAGACUUGUGGGGAAUUUAUACUGUAGCUGACAUUUCAAAACUGGUGACUGAAACAGCUGGCUACAAGGGGACUAUAAAGAAAACCAGGGGCGUAUUUUGCAUAGCUAAUUUUGAACCAAUUUGUUUACUCAAGCUCAUACAAGGACAAGAAUACAUGCACAACCGGCUUUUCUUUUUUGCUUCUUUAACGUAGUCACCCAUCUUUUUGCGGACUAUUGGCGUCGUUGAUUACUCUCACGUGCGUCAGAGUUUUGGAUAACUUAAAAAAUUGCUUUCAAAAUUUAAAUACUUGUUACUUAUUGAUAAAUAAAAGAUUAAUUAGAGAAGCUAGAUAAAAAUUCAAAAAUGUGUGUUUUACAAAACUAAACGUAAGUAAAUAUCUAAAUGGUUUAACAUUUUUAACGAUAUUAGUUAAAGUUAAUUAGUUAAAUUACAUAAAAUACCAAUUGUUUAAAUUGGUUGAACAUAUAAUACAUUACAAAUAUUA